Molecule: ribosomal RNA, 468 nt
Filed under: uncultured bacterium
Lineage: Bacteria
Description: partial 16S ribosomal RNA
Rfam family: Bacterial small subunit ribosomal RNA
Source: RNAcentral
GACGAACGCUGGCGGCGUGCUUAACACAUGCAAGUCGAACGGAAAGGCCCUGCUUUUGUGGGGUGCUCGAGUGGCGAACGGGUGAGUAACACGUGAGUAACCUGCCCUUGACUUUGGGAUAACUUCAGGAAACUGGGGCUAAUACCGGAUAGGAGCUCCUGCUGCAUGGUGGGGGUUGGAAAGUUUCGGCGGUUGGGGAUGGACUCGCGGCUUAUCAGCUUGUUAGUGGGGUAGUGGCUUACCAAGGCUUUGACGGGUAGCCGGCCUGAGAGGGUGACCGGCCACAUUGGGACUGAGGUACGGCCCAGACUCCUACGGGAGGCAGCAGUGGGGAAUAUUGCACAAUGGGCGGAAGCCUGAUGCAGCAACGCCGCGUGCGGGAUGACGGCCUUCGGCUUGUAAACCGCUUUCGCCUGUGACGAAGCGUGAGUGACGGUAAUGGGUAAAGAAGCACCGGCUAACUACGUG